GCGCAGCAGGCGAGAAACUUCACACUGUGCGAAAGCACGAUGAGGGAAUCCCAAGUGCUUGCACGUAAGUGUAAGCUGUUUCUCUGUCUAAAACGCAGAGAGAGUAAGGGCUGGGUAAGACGGGUGCCAGCCGCCGCGGUAAUACCUGCAGCUCAAGUGGUGACCGUUAUUAUUGGGCCUAAAACGUCCGUAGCCGGUUUAAUAAAUGCCUAGGUAAAUUGUGUAGCUUAAACUAUACGAAAUUCCGGGUAGACUGUUAAACUUGAGACCGGGAGCAGUUAGAGGUACUCCGUGGGGUAGAGGUGAAAUUCUGUAAUCCUAGGGGACCACCAGUGGCGAAGGCGUCUAACUAGAACGGGUCUGACGGUGAGGGACGAAGCCC
This 382-nucleotide ribosomal RNA is filed under the name uncultured microorganism. RNAcentral describes it as "bacterial SSU rRNA". It matches the Rfam family "Archaeal small subunit ribosomal RNA", at positions 330 to 712 of the family's 1478-position model. The record is from RNAcentral.